Molecule: unclassified non-coding RNA, 479 nt
Filed under: Hevea brasiliensis (rubber tree)
Lineage: Eukaryota; Viridiplantae; Streptophyta; Magnoliopsida; Malpighiales; Euphorbiaceae
Source: RNAcentral
AGAAAAGGAUAAUUCAGGACCAAUAGGUUGAUGAUAAACAAGUUGCUUAUUGACCGAACAAUCCUUCAGUUUAAGCCAUUCAUCAACCGUCUUGUCACACUCUGCCUCAAUCAUCCUGACGCCACAGUCAUUACACUUCAUGAAUGGCCGGCCUGUGUCGUCUGAUCGCCGGAACCGCCCACAUGUCACGUAGAACUCGUUCAACCAGUAGAAAGUGGUUUCCUUAAUGCGCAUAUUGGUUAGCCCUUGGGUUGCGUCACUACUGAAGAAGUAUACACCUUUUAGAUAGUGAAGCUUCAUGGCCAAAUCCAACCCUCUUGGCUCGUAGACCACGUCCGGAGCCGUUGCCCUGCCCGGACCAACGGAUGAAAUCUGGAUGUUAUAGACCAGAUUCUGGUCAUUACAAGAAACCAUGGUAAUGUUGACGGUUGGAAAUUAAGGAAGAGAAAUGGAAAGAAAAGAAAAGAGAAGAAAAGAAA